CUCCGGCAAAUAGCCAUGGAACCAAUCUGGGCGGUGGCCGCCGCAGCCGUACCUACCCACCACCACCACCUCUCCUUCCUCCCGGCAUCUCUUCGCCCUACCUCGUCUCCUCCGACGCGGACCUCCACAAGUAUGCCGUCGGCUCCUCCUUUGCCGCAACAGCGAACCUCCCACCUCUCCUCCUCCUCCACCCUGACCCCGUCUCCCUCGACGCCGACCUCCGCUAUGCGGUGCUCAUCAUUGGCGGCAGCGCUACUACCUACCACUACAUACCCUUCGCCUCCUCCCCCCCCCCUCCCUGACACGCGACAUGAUCUGAUUUGAUGUGAUGGUUGCCAUGGAGUAUUACUAUUGCAUUCAGUUGAUGGGGCGGAAGACAUCUCAUUUGGCCUUGGAAUGUGCUCUUAAGUCGCAUGCAAAUAUGGCGAGAAUGUUGCUGGCUUGCAGCAUCAAAACUGAAAAUUUCUGAUCUUACAAAGGAGGUACGUGAUAUUGUUGAGGCAAAGGUUGAAACGAGCAUAUAUUUCCUGUUUUCAUAGAAAUCCAUAAUUUGGAGAAGAUUUUGUUCCUUCAACAUUUUGAUUUUGUGGCGCAACUACUUCUCCAUCUAUAGAAUCUGACGCUCUGUUUGGCUUUCUCAUGUAGUGCUGCAAUUCAAUAUGUAAUAUUAGCUUAUCCUUUUUGUUUCAUAUAUGUUCAGGCAUCAACUUUACUAGAAGGGUUGGAUGCACUUUGCUGCGUCAUUGGUGUUGUAGGGUUUCUUUUAAAAAAAUACUCACUCUGUUGCAAAAUAUAAGGUGUAUUACUUUUAUGAAAAGUCAAACCUUUUACAUUUGAUUAAAUUUGUAGAGAAAUAUAUCUAAAUACAUAUGUAAAAUUGGUAUGGUUAGAUUCACCAUGAAAUGAAUUUCCAUACCCACUUUUGUUUAAUAUUGUGGAUGCUGAUAUCUUUUGCACUGAACUUGGUCAAAGUUAAAUAAAUUUGACUUUCCAAAUAACUAAUACCCCUUAUAUUUUGGAAACGGUGGAAUAUUUGGUUUGGCGGGUGAGGGAGAUGAUGGAGUGUGUUUUAUUUUUAUUCAUAAUGCGGUGAUUUGAUUGGUCUUUUCGUGGUGUCGUUCUAUGUUAUCCUCUAACCAACGUAUAUUUAUGUGAGGAAAA
This is a long non-coding RNA of Aegilops tauschii subsp. strangulata, 1161 nucleotides long. RefSeq lists it as uncharacterized. Lineage: Eukaryota; Viridiplantae; Streptophyta; Magnoliopsida; Poales; Poaceae. The record is from RefSeq and is a predicted model, not a curated record.